RNAcentral lists this ribosomal RNA (400 nucleotides) under uncultured Chryseobacterium sp. RNAcentral's name for it is "bacterial SSU rRNA". It matches the Rfam family "Bacterial small subunit ribosomal RNA", at positions 127 to 526 of the family's 1533-position model. Lineage: Bacteria; Pseudomonadati; Bacteroidota; Flavobacteriia; Flavobacteriales; Weeksellaceae. The record is from RNAcentral.
UGCCUUUAUCUGGGGGAUAGCCUUUCGAAAGGAAGAUUAAUACCCCAUAAUAUAAUGAACAGCAUCGUUUAUUAUUGAAAACUCCGGUGGAUAGAGAUGGGCACGCGCAAGAUUAGAUAGUUGGUGAGGUAACGGCUCACCAAGUCAAUGAUCUUUAGGGGGCCUGAGAGGGUGAUCCCCCACACUGGUACUGAGACACGAACCAGACUCCUACGGGAGGCAGCAGUGAGGAAUAUUGGACAAUGGGUGAGAGCCUGAUCCAGCCAUCCCGCGUGAAGGACGACGGCCCUAUGGGUUGUAAACUUCUUUUGUAUAGGGAUAAACCUUUCCACGUGUGGAAAGCUGAAGGUACUAUACGAAUAAGCACCGGCUAACUCCGUGCCAGCAGCCGCGGUAAUAC